RNAcentral lists this ribosomal RNA (253 nucleotides) under uncultured bacterium. RNAcentral describes it as "partial 16S ribosomal RNA". It matches the Rfam family "Bacterial small subunit ribosomal RNA", at positions 524 to 776 of the family's 1533-position model. The record is from RNAcentral.
UACGUAGGGUGCAAGCGUUGUCCGGAAUCAUUGGGCGUAAAGCGCGUGUAGGCGGUCCGGUAAGUCCGCUGUGAAAGUCGGGGGCUCAACCCUCGAAUGCCGGUGGAUACUGUCGGGCUAGAGUGCGGAAGAGGCGAGUGGAAUUCCUGGUGUAGCGGUGAAAUGCGCAGAUAUCAGGAGGAACACCAAUUGCGAAGGCAGCUCGCUGGGACGUAACUGACGCUGAGACGCGAAAGCGUGGGGAGCAAACAGG